GGGCCCGCACAAGCGGAGGAACAUGUGGUUUAAUUCGAUGAUACGCGAGGAACCUUACCCGGGCUCGAACGGCACAGGAAUAUGUAUGAAAGUAUAUAGCUAGCAAUAGUCUGUGUCGAGGUGCUGCAUGGUUGUCGUCAGCUCGUGCCGUGAGGUGUCGGCUUAAGUGCCAUAACGAGCGCAACCCUUAUCGUUAGUUACCAUCAGGUUAAGCUGGGGACUCUAGCGAGACUGCCACCGUAAGGUGUGAGGAAGGUGGGGAUGACGUCAAAUCAGCACGGCCCUUACGUCCGGGGCGACACACGUGUUACAAUGGGGGGGACAAAGGGAUGCUACUUAGCAAUAAGAUGCGAAUCUUCAAACCCUCUCCCAGUUCGGAUCGGAGUCUGCAACUCGACUCCGUGAAGCUGGAUUCGCUAGUAAUCGCGCAAUCAGCCAUGGCG
RNAcentral lists this ribosomal RNA (443 nucleotides) under uncultured Bacteroidota bacterium. Its description in RNAcentral is "bacterial SSU rRNA". It matches the Rfam family "Bacterial small subunit ribosomal RNA", at positions 917 to 1359 of the family's 1533-position model. Lineage: Bacteria; Pseudomonadati; Bacteroidota. The record is from RNAcentral.